RNAcentral lists this transfer RNA (73 nucleotides) under Lactiplantibacillus pentosus. RNAcentral describes it as "Lactobacillus pentosus tRNA-Met". It matches the Rfam family "tRNA". Rfam says of the family: Transfer RNA (tRNA) molecules are approximately 80 nucleotides in length. The record is from RNAcentral. RNAcentral also lists the same sequence under 2 other names. Lineage: Bacteria; Bacillati; Bacillota; Bacilli; Lactobacillales; Lactobacillaceae.
UGCAGGGCAAAGCGGUGGACGCUUACUUGUUUCAUAAACAAGAAUGGUACUGGUUCGAUUCCAGUCUCUGCAA